GAUUAACGCUGGCGGCGUGCUUAACACAUGCAAGUCGAACGGAAAGGCCCUGCUUUUGUGGGGUGCUCGAGUGGCGAACGGGUGAGUAACACGUGAGUAACCUGCCCUUGACUUUGGGAUAACUUCAGGAAACUGGGGCUAAUACCGGAUAGGAGCUCCUGCUGCAUGGUGGGGGUUGGAAAGUUUCGGCGGUUGGGGAUGGACUCGCGGCUUAUCAGCUUGUUGGUGGGGUAGUGGCUUACCAAGGCUUUGACGGGUAGCCGGCCUGAGAGGGUGACCGGCCACAUUGGGACUGAGAUACGGCCCAGACUCCUACGGGAGGCAGCAGUGGGGAAUAUUGCACAAUGGGCGGAAGCCUGAUGCAGCAACGCCGCGUGCGGGAUGACGGCCUUCGGGUUGUAAACCGCUUUCGCCUGUGACGAAGCGUGAGUGACGGUAAUGGGUAAAGAAGCACCGGCUAACUACGUG
This 468-nucleotide ribosomal RNA is filed under the name uncultured bacterium. RNAcentral's name for it is "partial 16S ribosomal RNA". It matches the Rfam family "Bacterial small subunit ribosomal RNA", at positions 28 to 507 of the family's 1533-position model. The record is from RNAcentral.